This 332-nucleotide ribosomal RNA is filed under the name uncultured bacterium. RNAcentral describes it as "bacterial SSU rRNA". It matches the Rfam family "Bacterial small subunit ribosomal RNA", at positions 568 to 898 of the family's 1533-position model. The record is from RNAcentral.
CGUGUAGGCGGUUGGUCAAGUCUGGCGUGAAAGCCCGGGGCUUAGCUCCGGAAGUGCGCUGGAAACUAGCCGACUGGAGCGCGAUAGAGGAGGGUGGAAUUCCUGGUGUAGCGGUGAAAUGCGUAGAUAUCAGGAGGAACACCGGCGGCGAAGGCGGCCCUCUGGAUCGUUGCUGACGCUGAGACGCGAAAGCGUGGGGAGCAAACAGGAUUAGAUACCCUGGUAGUCCACGCUGUAAACUAUGGGUACUAGGUGUUCGGGGUGUUGACCCCCUGAGUGCCGACGCUAACGCAUUAAGUACCCCGCCUGGGGACUACGGCCGCAAGGCUAAA